CACAACCGGAUACGGACAAGUGACGCCACCUACCCCUUCGUCCUUGCCCUGCAGGAGGUGAACGGCGCCGGAUCGCUGUAAGUCAGGCAGGAACCAGAUGGGGUAGCUUUUGAUGAGUCGCUCACACGGCUCACACUCCGACCCAUCCCCGCUGCCAGUCUGCAGACGAGACCCCACCACCUCUUAUUAGUACUCCGUGACACUAUGAAUUGUGACCCUGCCUCUCGCACAAGCACCGUCCACAUUUAUAUAAGAACGUCAUUGUACGACAGAGUAGCCAGCUAAACAGCCGAGCCCUCAGCGUGCGCCUCCCGCCGGACAAGGGACCCUACAUCCAACACUACCUCAUUGAGAUCCACAACGAAGGCUCCUCCUACUCACUCCAAGCUUCUGAAAACCGCUUCGACACCCUUCCUUCGCUCAUCACCUAUUAUUCUCAGUGCUGCGAAGAGUUGCUGGCUCAGCUCAAGCUUCCUCGCACCAUCCAGGAGGCCAAGACCCGCCAUGAACUCGGCUCUCUCUCGCUGCUCGGACAAGGUGGUGCAUCACAGCGUCAGACUCACAGAGGAUGUGUAGCCGAGGCAAUGACACGUGGACGGCGCUGAUGGCGGCCAGAACCUCUUGGGCGUCUUGGUCACACACGGCCAGGCUGAGCACCCCCAGGUCCCGCCACUCCUGCAGCAGCUGUGUGCCGGCACCACUUAAGUGACCCAUGAACCUCUCAAGAAACAGUUGGCCAAAAUAAUAAUGGCAGAAGUAAGACUAAGCUUUGAAGAAAGAACAUGUCAUAAAGUGUUACUGGAGGCACGAAAAUGUCAAAGAAGUGCAAAGACAAUUCACAAGACACUUUGACAGGGAUCCACCAAGGUGACGCGCCAUUGC
Scylla paramamosain (green mud crab) is the source of this 882-nucleotide long non-coding RNA. RefSeq lists it as uncharacterized. The transcript has 5 exons. Lineage: Eukaryota; Metazoa; Arthropoda; Malacostraca; Decapoda; Portunidae. The record is from RefSeq and is a predicted model, not a curated record.